GUGGCUUAGUGGUUAGAUAAUCUGCCUUAGAUGUAGGAGGUUGUGGGUUCAAACCCCGGAUGAUUCA
Potamilus streckersoni is the source of this 67-nucleotide non-coding RNA. Lineage: Eukaryota; Metazoa; Mollusca; Bivalvia; Unionida; Unionidae. The record is from the annotation of a GenBank genome assembly.